AGUGAGGUUUCACUUCGUGGCAUUCCGCGUAUGAAUGUUUUUAGACUUUAAUCCUUUUCGAUUGAACCAUACAGACUAAUUCUUCAGCGUACUCAUUAGAAAGAAAUGCAAAACUCGCUGCGUCCGUAGAAGGAAACUUUAAUGGAAGAGGACAUCAGUUUAUAACAAAAUCCAUCAUAUUUUUUUUCCACUUUACCUUUUACAAUUAUUUCCAAUUAUUGAGCCAGUUACUGGGUGGGGGCUUUAACCUUUCUCUGUUUUAAAGUUCUCCAAUCAUUGUACGCACUUCAUUUAUGGCUUUGGGAUGAUACGAGGCUGAUAGUGUUUAUAUGUCUCUGUAGAUUUCUCAGCAAUUCUGGUCCAAGGAUACAUCAUUUCUGCCAACAAAAUAGUUCUUUCCAUUUGUUCAUUGUUGAUAUUUGUCAAAGGGAAAUGUAGUUAGAUUAAGACUAGACAGCCCCAGCCAUCUGUCAUCCUUGUGACAGUUGACCUGGAUUCUGAAGUGACGCCGUUUAACUUUUGUGUCAGUCUGGUGCAGCCACGUGGAACUUCAUUUUAGCAGAGGAGGUUUUAUUGAGUUAUGUAAUCAGUCUGACCUGCAAAUGGAGCUACUCUUGUAUCAAGAACUGCAAGGGCAUUUGUCUGCUACUGUGGAGGGCUGCUGCCAGUUUAGACCCGUGGGCUGAAGUCUCACAGAGCUGGACUGGGCUCUCUCUGCUGUUGACUUUCUAGUAGGCAAGGACACUGUUUCCAUUCCCUUUCCAUUAACUUUUAUAUUUUCUCCUUACCCCAUGUUUUAUUUUAUCUCUUACACAAACCUGUGUUCUGGAAAUGCAAAAUCCGGAAGGAGGAACCUUUCAAGACCUCAUCAUUAAGUUGGGUACAAUUGUUUAUGCCCAUAACUCAAGGUGAUCUGACCACAAAGAGUGUGUCCUUGAAGAGGGCUUACAAAAUAGUACUGACUUGAGUAUCACAAGAAGCAAUACAGUACUUGGAAGGAGAAUGUGGUCUGAACAUGUAUUUUAGCAGUGGUCCUGCUUAACUUUUCUGCUUAUGGAUAUGUGACAUGGGCAGCUGAGGCUGUGUACAGGUUCCACUGUUCCACUCCUUCUGUUUGAGAAGGAGAUCUGCCAGAGUCCAGGUGCGCUCAAGGAGCACAACAACGCUGCAGUCACUGCUGGGACUCACUGCAGCCAAUGAGCACAGUCUUCAAGAGCAUCCAAACACCCAGAUCAGCUAUUUCAAAGUCUGCAAAACUGUAUAAACUAAGCUCUGCCUUACUUGGAUGGCAGUAAUUUUUCAGUUACCACUUGUAUGGGAAUUUUUGUUAUUUCAGAGCAAUAAGAAAUUUUUAAAUGUCUGCUGUAGUAUUUGUUCUGUUUCAUGCUGUUUGCAUGCACGAAUUUAUAGUUAAGAGGAGGUCUGUUGCCAGUAUGGUCAAAUAAUGUAUUAAGCUACAGAGAGGUUUGUGGACAUCUUUCUUUUUUCCUUUUCUCCCUUUUUUUUAACAUUUUUUUUCCUUUUUCCCCUCCUUUGUUUUCUUUUUUCUUGACCAUUUUUCAGAAUCAAGUAACUGUGUACAGUUGGUAAAUAUUAUUGAAGAUGCUCAGGAAUUUUCUCUAUGUUCUAAAAUGUACAAAUGUUGCCAUGCUUUUGGCUGAUCAGAAAUGGGAGUGUUGUAGCUUGCACUAGAAAUGUUUUGAACAAAGUAGACACUGAGAUGUUUGUUUAGUGUGGUAGCUGGUGGGCUGUGUGGACAGGUACCAAUUUGCUUUUCAGCUCUGUUCUGGAAAGCUUCUGCUGGUACAGCUGUGCUGGUGUGGUUACACAGGUAGACUUUUCUGUGCAGGUGCAGUGCAUUUUGGGAAAAGAACUCUUUCUGAUGAUAGAUGAGAAAGUAUGGAUUGAUGCUAAACACAAGUAACUAAGCUGACAACAGCACUCCCCUGCUAACUUAGCUGCACUCAGACCAGGAGGAUUUGCUGAUAAAGUUGUGUAAGCUGGGGAGUGCUUUUUCCUGCUUAUCCUUGCACUGCUGUGUCAGCAACACUCUGCAACGUAGACGCAGCUGCGAGGGGUGGUUUAAACUCACCCUACAAACUGACAAGGCCACGUUUCUCUAAAUGCAUUUUUUUGUUUGCUUUAAUGAAUAAGGGAAAAAAGUGAAUUCAAAUGAGACUUCCAUGUUGAAGCAUUAUUUUCUGCACAGUUUUGUCACCUUAACAAACUAGUGGAAGUGAUUUUGAAAGUAGCACACAAGGCUUUCUACGGUGGCUGGUCAUUGUUUCUGUUUGGUCCAUGGUCAUGCCUUUCUACCAAGCCGUUGUAUCCAUGUACUUUAUUGUAAUAUCACAGAAGAAACAGUUCUUUAAAGUAAAACUGAGCAAAUGGAGUGAAGUUGCAACCUAACCCAAAAUCAGAACUCUGGUAGAAUCAGAGAGAGGAAGACAACAUUUAUUUAUCUUGGGUAGAAAACAAUCCCAGAGUGUGCAGUACUUGGUUCUUGGACAAAAAGGUAUGAGGCAGGAUAAGAUAAAUGGGGUAAGCAAUCAUGUAGAACCUUGGAAUAAAGAGCAAAGGGAUGUUAAAGAAGAGGGAUAGGCAAUAGCUGGAUUCAAAGAUGUUAGACAUGGUCCAGAAAAUCACAUAGUAACAAGACCUCUUUCAGGAUAGUGCAAUUUUUCUCCACAAAAUUGGAGAGAGAAAAGAGAGAAGGAAUCAACAUUAGAGAGUAAUAGCCAGGAAGAGUCAUCACUGAAGAUAAGCCAUCAUCAUAGCAUUUUGUAGCUUUCUUUUCUAAGUGGCCCUUCCUAUUACACGUGAAUUGAAAAAGAUUUUGAAAAUAAAAGCA
This is a long non-coding RNA of Neopelma chrysocephalum (saffron-crested tyrant-manakin), 2851 nucleotides long. RefSeq lists it as uncharacterized. The record is from RefSeq and is a predicted model, not a curated record. The transcript has 3 exons. NCBI's taxonomy places the organism in Eukaryota, Metazoa, Chordata, Aves, Passeriformes, Pipridae.